AUAAGUAGAUUCCGUACAUCACUUGACCUAAUUUCAGAUUAACCCUAAACUAUUAAUGCCAAAUUAUACCAAUUACCUCCAAAAUUCCUUGAAAAAUUUCCCCAAAAUUGAACUCAAGCAAGUAAACUAGCUAUGUCAAUAUUGCAGAAGAUUGAAAGUGCAUCUGAUUCAUCCAACACCGUGACUCUUCCAGACCAUCUCGUAAUUGAUCAUAUUCUCCCAAGACUUCCGGCAAGAAGAUUAUUUUCACUGUCACUUCCACCGGAAAGCUCUUGUUGGGACACUUGAAAGUUGAUAGCCAGCAGUUUACGAUAAUUGGCUCUACUAAGGAUACUCGAGAACUAUCCCAAAGAGAUGCUUACAUUACAAAGGAAAGAAUAUGAUAGAGUAUAUAACAUAUCCCUGGGCCUCAACCAUCAGCUUAAGCUUUUGGUUGAGUUGGUCCUCUAACAUGGUAUUAGAGCCAACGUGACAUAGAGGUCACGGGUUCGAAUCUCAUCCACCCCUCCUUUAAAGUGGAAUUAAUUUGCGCCGGGUAUGAGAGGGUCUGUGCUGCAUCCACAUUUCAAGCCCAAAGGGCCUUUCAUGUGAGGGGGAGUGAUAGAGUAUAUAACAUAUUCCUAAGCCUCAACCAUCAGCUUAAGCUUUAGUAUGGCCAGCUCAUGUCAAUGUUGGUUAUUAAUCCCCUCCCCCCUAGUAAUGUUGCUACUCUAUUGUCUCGGAUGUAGUUCAUGUAUAAAUUCACUCCUAUUACUGUGUACUUGUGUAGCUGGUCAGUCGACGAGUGGGUGUUUGAUUAUGCAGCCUGUUAGACCUUACAAGCUUGCAAAAGCAGAUACUGUGUAUGUAAUUGGGUCAUGAGUGUAAUAUUGACGCUUGACCGGACCAUCAUUAUUAGCUUGAAAUUUCUCGAUUGCU
This is a long non-coding RNA of Chenopodium quinoa (quinoa), 918 nucleotides long. RefSeq lists it as uncharacterized. The record is from RefSeq and is a predicted model, not a curated record. The transcript has 2 exons. NCBI's taxonomy places the organism in Eukaryota, Viridiplantae, Streptophyta, Magnoliopsida, Caryophyllales, Amaranthaceae.